AAAAUAUUGUUCUACUUGGACACAGGAUCUGAAUAGUCAGAAUCCUUGAAAACUACAGCUGCAACUAUGAAAAUGCAUGAGGAGUUUAGAGUCUUUGUGAGACUUCAUUCAUCUCCCUUUGACAACACAGCAAGUUGGUUCGUAAAAAAGCCAAGAUCCCACCCAAUUUUCCAGCCUGGUUAGAUUUUCCCCAGAAAGGAAAAGAUGCUUCUUUU
RNAcentral lists this long non-coding RNA (215 nucleotides) under Anser brachyrhynchus (Pink-footed goose). RNAcentral's name for it is "lncRNA (ENSABRG00000015854.1)". The record is from RNAcentral. Lineage: Eukaryota; Metazoa; Chordata; Aves; Anseriformes; Anatidae.